UCUGAACCCCGGCGGGGCCUGUGUGCUCAGAUCUUCCCACAGCGUACCCCUGAAGCCCAGCUCAGGCAGCCUGAGGAUUAGAAUAAAUGAAAAUCAUUAUCUGAGCUGUUUGGCACACGUGCGUGUGCAAGAGCCAGGGGCCAUUUUCAAGGGAAAAUGCCCGUUGCAGUUUCCUAAAUCCUUUCUCAUUUUUGACUUAUUUGAUCCUGGCAACAACUUGGUGAGAUUGGUUUAUCCGUGAGUCCAUUUCACAGGCAGGAAAGUGGUGUCGCAGGGAGGCCGAGUGACUUGUCCACAGCCACGCAGCUGGGAAACGGGGAGACAGAUUCAGAUCCGAACUCCACAGAAACCAUUGUGUCUGCCGUUGCCAUGGCAAUGGGGAUGUGGCAGGAGCGCCAGGCUCUCAGGCUUUCCAGGGCCCGUGGAGGCCGGCAAGGGCGGUCGAUUUCUCCCAGGAGCCCCUGACUCACGCCCACCUUCAGAGGCCCCCGGGAGUGAAGAAGACAGCCUUCCCACCCGUUUCCAGCAGGGCUGGCUGCAUCCAGGAAGACAGCGCUGCUGGUGAGUGGUUCGGCUUUGUUUCAGACCACUCAAAGAAAUCAUCUAGAACAACGUCCGCAAGACUGGCGGUGCAACUGUCCCCCUUGGAACCUCUCGGGAACACAGCCUCUGUCUCCUCACCGCAGAGCAGCUGCGUCAGACUCCCAGACGGCGGGGCCUAGGGAUCUGUGUUUUGGUUUUGGGAUCUGUGCAAAUCCACAUGACUCAAUAAUCCAAACAUACAGAGAGCCUGGGAACCCUUACCCCGCUCUGGCGCCCUAUGUGUCCGCUUUCAUUGGCUUCUUGUAUUUCCGGCUUGUUUUCUUUAGGGAGGCAGCAAAUACAAGAUACGGUCCACUUUUAUCUUUCCCCGCUCAGAAAAUAAAGAUACCACAGCC
Molecule: long non-coding RNA, 938 nt
Filed under: Homo sapiens (human)
Lineage: Eukaryota; Metazoa; Chordata; Mammalia; Primates; Hominidae
Description: non-protein coding lnc-JPH3-6:1
Source: RNAcentral